RNAcentral lists this unclassified non-coding RNA (248 nucleotides) under fungal sp. RNAcentral's name for it is "partial internal transcribed spacer region". The stretch from base 1 to 46 matches the Rfam family "Eukaryotic small subunit ribosomal RNA", at positions 1786 to 1831 of the family's 1831-position model. Lineage: Eukaryota; Fungi. The record is from RNAcentral.
AAGUCGUAACAAGGUUUCCGUAGGUGAACCUGCGGAAGGAUCAUUAGAGGGAGAGGGGAAGGUUUCGACCUAACCAUCUGAGAUAGCUGUGAGGGUGGUUUUGAGACGGCGUGGGUGGUCUGAGUACUGCCCACCCGUACUUUGACACAUGCGGGAGUACCAUGUCGGACUGACACGUUGUGGGCUUUAUACUUGACCAGCAGAGGGUAAUAUAGAAACAACUUUUAGCAAUGGAUCUCUUGGUUCCU